Molecule: ribosomal RNA, 497 nt
Filed under: uncultured bacterium
Lineage: Bacteria
Description: partial 16S ribosomal RNA
Rfam family: Bacterial small subunit ribosomal RNA
Source: RNAcentral
GAUGAACGCUGGCGGCGUGCCUAAUACAUGCAAGCCGAGCGAACGGACGAGAAGCUUGCUUCUCUGAUGUUAGCGGCGGACGGGUGAGUAACACGUGGAUAACCUACCUAUAAGACUGGGAUAACUUCGGGAAACCGGAGCUAAUACCGGAUGAUAUUUUGAACCGCAUGGUUCAAAAGUGAAAGACGGUCUUGCUGUCACUUAUAGAUGGAUCCGCGCUGCAUUAGCUAGUUGGUAAGGUAACGGCUUACCAAGGCAACGAUGCAUAGCCGACCUGAGAGGGUGAUCGGCCACACUGGAACUGAGACACGGUCCAGACUCCUACGGGAGGCAGCAGUAGGGAAUCUUCCGCAAUGGGCGAAAGCCUGACGGAGCAACGCCGCGUGAGUGAUGAAGGUCUUCGGAUCGUAAAACUCUGUUAUUAGGGAAGAACAUAUGUGUAAGUAACUGUGCACAUCUUGACGGUACCUAAUCAGAAAGCCACGACUAACUACGUG